RNAcentral lists this ribosomal RNA (485 nucleotides) under uncultured bacterium. RNAcentral's name for it is "bacterial SSU rRNA". It matches the Rfam family "Bacterial small subunit ribosomal RNA", at positions 899 to 1397 of the family's 1533-position model. The record is from RNAcentral.
ACUCAAAUGAAUAGACGGGGGCCCGCACAAGCAGCGGAGCGUGUGGUUUAAUUCGAUGCUACACGAAGAACCUUACCAGGGUUUGACAUACACAUGGUAGAGACGCGAAAGCGAAUUGACCCUUCGGGGAGUGUGAACAGGUGUUGCAUGGCUGUCGUCAGCUCGUGUCGUGAGAUGUUCGGUUAAGUCCGCUAACGAGCGCAACCCACAUUGCGUGUUACAAGUGUCACGCGACACUGCCGGUCUUAAGCCGGAGGAAGGUGUGGACGACGUCAAGUCAGCAUGACCUAUAUAUCCUGGGCUACACACACGCUACAAUGGCCGGUACAACGGGUAGCGAAGCCGCGAGGCGGAGCCAAUCCAGAAAGCCGGUCUCAGUUCAGAUUACAGGCUGCAACCCGCCUGUAUGAAGAUGGAGUUGCUAGUAACCGCAGGUCAGCUAUACUGCGGUGAAUACGUUCCCGGGCCUUGUACACACCGCCCGU